This 504-nucleotide ribosomal RNA is filed under the name Triticum aestivum (bread wheat). Its description in RNAcentral is "partial small subunit ribosomal RNA". The record is from RNAcentral. Lineage: Eukaryota; Viridiplantae; Streptophyta; Magnoliopsida; Poales; Poaceae.
AUGUGUAUUGACUACACCAGCCUGAACAAGGCCUACCCCAAGGAUCCUUUUGCUCUGCCCUGUACCGAUCAAGUCAUCGAUUCCACGGCUGGCUGUGAGCUCCUGUCUUUUCUGGACGCCUACUCAGGCUACCACCAGAUAAAGCUGAGCCCGACCGACCAGCUCAAGACAUCCUUCAUCACCCCGUUCGGGGUGUAUUGCUACAUCACCAUGUCUUUUGGCCUGAAGAAUGCAUGCGCCACUUUCCAGCGCUGCAUGCAGAAGUGCCUUCUCUCGCAGAUCGGCCGCAACAUGCACAUGUACGUCGACGGCAUCGUGGUCAAGACCAAGCAACACCUCACCCUCUUGGACAAUCUCAAUGAGACGUUCGUGAAUCUGCACAAGUUCCAGAUCAAGCUGAACCCGGAGAAGUGCGUGUUCGGCGUGCCAGCCGGCCAACUCCUCGAUUUCCUUGUUGCGGAGCACGGGAUCGAGGCCAAUCCCGAGAAGAUCAAGGCCAUCUAG